GAUAUUGGACAAUGGGGGCAACCCUGAUCCAGCCAUGCCGCGUGCGUGAAGAAGGUCUUCGGAUUGUAAAGCACCUUAAGUUGGGAGGAAGGGUGUUAGGUUAAUACCCUGAAGUUUUGACGUUACUAACAGAAUAAGCGCAGGCUACCUCUGUGCAACGAGCCGCGGUAAUACUAGGGGUGCAAGCGUUAAUUGGAAUUACUGGGGGUAAAGGCGGCAUAGGGGGUUCGUUAAGUGGGAAUUGAAAGCCCCGGGCUUAAACUGGGAAUUGCUUAAAAAACUGACGAGCUAUAGUACGGUAGAGAGUAGUGGAAAUUCCUGUGUAGCGGUGAAAUGCGUAGAUAUAGGAAGGAACAUCAGUGGCGAAGGCGACUACCUGGACUGAUACUGACACAGGGGUGCGAAAGCGUGGGGAGCAAACAGG
This 424-nucleotide ribosomal RNA is filed under the name uncultured bacterium. Its description in RNAcentral is "partial 16S ribosomal RNA". It matches the Rfam family "Bacterial small subunit ribosomal RNA", at positions 359 to 776 of the family's 1533-position model. The record is from RNAcentral.